This is a long non-coding RNA of Astatotilapia calliptera (eastern happy), 708 nucleotides long. NCBI's taxonomy places the organism in Eukaryota, Metazoa, Chordata, Actinopteri, Cichliformes, Cichlidae. The record is from Ensembl.
CCAGGUGACAGAGCUGUUGCAGGUGCUGAUUACUGUGAGCCAGAGCCAUAAUGUUGUUGUGCACUGAACAGAACGGAAUUGGCCAGGUGAACCUUGUUGGGGUAUGAAAAAGGAUGGCGAGCCAAUGAACGGCUAGGAGCAGGACACAUUCUGCAAUUGACGCUUCCACCGGUUGGGUAGGAAGCUAUCAAAGACAACGCUCUUUCCCCAUUUUCCAAAUACACUGAUUUCCGCAAUCAUACACACCAUUCCCUUCAUUUAUGGACAAUAGCGCUUGGACAUCUCUCAUGGACAUUCAGAUUAAACUCAUGGACUUCAGUGUGGAUCAGUGGAUUUGAUAUUAACAUGUGGUGUUUAUGGGGGAACUGUUUUUUUGAGAACCUGUAUUGCUUGGUAUAAGCCAGACAAAUCUGUUUAGUUGUCUUUGUGCACCCUCACUGAGUUUUUGAUUAAUUGGAUAGCUACAGCAGGAGUGAUUAUUUAAGUUUUCCUUUUCUUGUUAUUCUUUUUUGGGGUUUGGUUAAAUACAUGGUACCUGCAAAACCAUUUUUUGUGUUGUGUAUUUAUUAAUUACUGCCCAUCAGCUCCAGUGGUGUCCCUAAAUCUUCUGAUUAAUAAUAACCAUAAAAUUACACUCAAUCCCUAGCCUGUAUUAAUUCAUUAGCGCUACAUCAGUGUUACAGGAGGCAGAGCCUUCAGUUUUCAGGC